Molecule: long non-coding RNA, 784 nt
Organism: Varroa destructor (honeybee mite)
Lineage: Eukaryota; Metazoa; Arthropoda; Arachnida; Mesostigmata; Varroidae
Source: RefSeq, a predicted model, not a curated record
GGGAACGAUGCGUUAGCAGUUCGUAGUUUGAAAUUAAUUCGACGGUGGCUGCUAGUUGAGUCUAUAAAAAUAUCCCGCUAAACCCAGGGGGGCGCUCAAUCAACAUCUUAAGUAUGGAGUGUUAGUAUACCGUGUGACCUAUAGAGAUUUGUCGCACCGCAAGAUCUCGCAACGCUGAAGGGGUUUUCGGACAACAAUCUUAUGCUGUUCGUGGCACACUUGAACUCGACGGGACCAAUGCACAGUUACGUUCCCGCUAUCACUCGAGUGCUGCUUUCGCACGAGAUUACAGGCCCUCCCGUACAGCCCGUCCUUCCCUGUUCGUUAGUAAUAGGUGGUACUAAAUAUUAUGCUAAAAAAAAAUCCUCGACUAGCCUGCAUCCUCUAUUUGCUCAGUGACGCUCGACAGUGACCUAAGGAGCUUAGUAACGGCUGCGGGUUAAACGCCUUUACAGAGCGGAAGGUUUUAUCAAAUCAGUGAAAUGCAUGGAAUCGUGUACUGUCUUCAGCUUGAAUUACAAUCGAUCGGUGUCGCAGCAAAAGAUCAGUCAAUAGAAAUCCAACGGAAGGUAAGCCAAGACCAAAUUCAAAGCUGAAUGGUAACGGUAAAAUAGUACAUUAACAUGAUUAAGCGCUUGUCAGGUCCACCCUUGGAGUCACACGCGCCAGCCAAUCGGUUCAUAGUGACCUAGACUAAAACGAAUGAACGCAUUUGCACCAUCGACGAACUACGACGCCGUCAUAGUCAACAAUGACUUUAUGCUGUGAAAUAAGAUAAAUUAAA